AGUGAACGCUGGCGGUAGGCCUAACACAUGCAAGUCGAACGGCAGCACAGUAAGAUCUUGCUCUUACGGGUGGCGAGUGGCGGACGGGUGAGGCAUACAUCGGAAUCUACUUUUUCGUGGGGGAUAACGUAGGGAAACUUACGCUAAUACCGCAUACGACCUACGGGUGAAAGCAGGGGAUCUUCGGACCUUGCGCGAUUGAAUGAGCCGAUGUCGCAUUAGCUAGUUGGCGGGGUAAAGGCCCACCAAGGCGACGAUCCGUAGCUGGUCUGAGAGGAUGAUCAGCCACACUGGAACUGAGACACGGUCCAGACUCCUACGGGAGGCAGCAGUGGGGAAUAUUGGACAAUGGGCGCAAGCCUGAUCCAGCAAUACCGCGUGAGUGAAGAAGGCCUUCGGGUUGUAAAGCCCUUUUGUUGGGAAAGAAAAGCAGCAGGUUAAUACCCCGCUGUUCUGACGGUACCCAAAGAAUAAGCACCGGCUAACUUCGUG
Molecule: ribosomal RNA, 492 nt
Filed under: uncultured bacterium
Lineage: Bacteria
Description: partial 16S ribosomal RNA
Rfam family: Bacterial small subunit ribosomal RNA
Source: RNAcentral